RNAcentral lists this ribosomal RNA (743 nucleotides) under uncultured bacterium. RNAcentral describes it as "bacterial SSU rRNA". It matches the Rfam family "Bacterial small subunit ribosomal RNA", at positions 191 to 917 of the family's 1533-position model. The record is from RNAcentral.
GCCCUUCGGGGGAAAGUGGGGGAUCUUCGGACCUCACGCUAUCAGAUGAGCCCGCGUCGGAUUAGCUUGUUGGUGAGGUAAAGGCUCACCAAGGCGAUGAUCCGUAGCUGGUCUGAGAGGAUGACCAGCCACACUGGGACUGAGACACGGCCCAGACUCCUACGGGAGGCAGCAGUGGGGAAUAUUGGACAAUGGGGGCAACCCUGAUCCAGCCAUGCCGCGUGUGUGAAGAAGGCCUUCGGGUUGUAAAGCACUUUCAGCUGUGAGGAAAGGCGAGUGGUUAAUACCCGCUUGCUGUGACGUUAACAGCAGAAGAAGGACCGGCUAACUCCGUGCCAGCAGCCGCGGUAAUACGGAGGGUCCGAGCGUUAAUCGGAAUUACUGGGCGUAAAGCGCGCGUAGGUGGUUCAGUCAGUCAGAUGUGAAAGCCCCGGGCUCAACCUGGGAACUGCACCUGAUACUGCUGAGCUAGAGUACGGUAGAGGGUAGUGGAAUUUCCGGUGUAGCGGUGAAAUGCGUAGAGAUCGGAAGGAACACCAGUGGCGAAGGCGACUACCUGGACCGAUACUGACACUGAGGUGCGAAAGCGUGGGUAGCAAACAGGAUUAGAUACCCUGGUAGUCCACGCCGUAAACGAUGUCAACUAGCCGUUGGGGGACUUGAUCCUUUAGUGGCGAAGCUAACGCGAUAAGUUGACCGCCUGGGGAGUACGGCCGCAAGGUUACACUCAAUGAAUUGACGAA